Molecule: ribosomal RNA, 468 nt
Filed under: uncultured bacterium
Lineage: Bacteria
Description: partial 16S ribosomal RNA
Rfam family: Bacterial small subunit ribosomal RNA
Source: RNAcentral
GACGAACGCUGGCGGCGUGCUUAACACAUGCAAGUCGAACGGAAAGGUCCUGCUUUUGUGGGGUGCUCGAGUGGCGAACGCGUGAGUAACACGUGAGUAACCUGCCCUUGACUUUGGGAUAACUUCAGGAAACUGGGGCUAAUACCGGAUAGGAGCUCCUGCUGCAUGGUGGGGGUUGGAAAGUUUCGGCGGUUGGGGAUGGACUCGCGGCUUAUCAGCUUGUUGGUGGGGUAGGGGCUGACCAAGGCUUUGACGGGUAGCCGGCCUGAGAGGGGGACCGGGGACAUGGGGACUGAGAGACGGCGCAGACGGCUACGGGAGGCAGCAGUGGGGAGUAUUGCACAAUGGGCGGAAGCGGGAGGCAGCGACGCCGCGUGCGGGAUGACGGCCUUCGGGUUGUAAACCGCUGUCGCCUGUGACGAAGCGUGAGUGACGGUAAUGGGUAAAGAAGCACCGGCUAACUACGUG